Molecule: ribosomal RNA, 702 nt
Filed under: Klebsiella pneumoniae subsp. pneumoniae
Lineage: Bacteria; Pseudomonadati; Pseudomonadota; Gammaproteobacteria; Enterobacterales; Enterobacteriaceae
Description: bacterial LSU rRNA
Rfam family: Bacterial large subunit ribosomal RNA
Source: RNAcentral
GUGGGAAACGAUGUGGGAAGGCACAGACAGCCAGGAUGUUGGCUUAGAAGCAGCCAUCAUUUAAAGAAAGCGUAAUAGCUCACUGGUCGAGUCGGCCUGCGCGGAAGAUGUAACGGGGCUAAACCAUGCACCGAAGCUGCGGCAGCGACACUAUGUGUUGUUGGGUAGGGGAGCGUUCUGUAAGCCUGCGAAGGUGACCUGUGAGGGUUGCUGGAGGUAUCAGAAGUGCGAAUGCUGACAUAAGUAACGAUAAAGCGGGUGAAAAGCCCGCUCGCCGGAAGACCAAGGGUUCCUGUCCAACGUUAAUCGGGGCAGGGUGAGUCGACCCCUAAGGCGAGGCCGAAAGGCGUAGUCGAUGGGAAACAGGUUAAUAUUCCUGUACUUGGUGUUACUGCGAAGGGGGGACGGAGAAGGCUAUGUUAGCCGGGCGACGGUUGUCCCGGUUUAAGCAUGUAGGCUGGUUAUCCAGGCAAAUCCGGAUAAUCAAGGCUGAGGUGUGAUGACGAGGCACUACGGUGCUGAAGUAACAAAUGCCCUGCUUCCAGGAAAAGCCUCUAAGCAUCAGGUAACAUCAAAUCGUACCCCAAACCGACACAGGUGGUCAGGUAGAGAAUACCAAGGCGCUUGAGAGAACUCGGGUGAAGGAACUAGGCAAAAUGGUGCCGUAACUUCGGGAGAAGGCACGCUGGUGUGUAGGUGAAG